Molecule: small RNA, 141 nt
Filed under: Brugia malayi
Lineage: Eukaryota; Metazoa; Nematoda; Chromadorea; Rhabditida; Onchocercidae
Description: RNA transcript Bm16740
Source: RNAcentral
GCUGGCUGUGGUGGUGCACACCUGUAAUCCCAGCACUUGGGGAGACAGAGGCAGACAAUCUCUAUGAGUUCGAGUCCAGCCUACUCUACAAAGUGAGUCCUGGACAGCCAAGGCUACACAGAGAAACCCUGUCUUGAAAAA